Molecule: ribosomal RNA, 496 nt
Filed under: uncultured bacterium
Lineage: Bacteria
Description: partial 16S ribosomal RNA
Rfam family: Bacterial small subunit ribosomal RNA
Source: RNAcentral
GAUGAACGCUGGCGGCGUGCCUAAUACAUGCAAGUCGAGCGAACAGACGAGGAGCUUGCUCCUCUGACGUUAGCGGCGGACGGGUGAGUAACACGUGGAUAACCUACCUAUAAGACUGGGAUAACUUCGGGAAACCGGAGCUAAUACCGGAUAAUAUAUUGAACCGCAUGGUUCAAUAGUGAAAGACGGUUUUGCUGUCACUUAUAGAUGGAUCCGCGCCGCAUUAGCUAGUUGGUAAGGUAACGGCUUACCAAGGCAACGAUGCGUAGCCGACCUGAGAGGGUGAUCGGCCACACUGGAACUGAGACACGGUCCAGACUCCUACGGGAGGCAGCAGUAGGGAAUCUUCCGCAAUGGGCGAAAGCUUGACGGAGCGACGCCGCGUGAGUGAUGAAGGUCUUCGGAUCGUAAAACUCUGUUAUUAGGGAAGAACAAAUGUGUAAGUAACUAUGCACGUCUUGACGGUACCUAAUCAGAAAGCCACGGCUAACUACGU